Molecule: ribosomal RNA, 115 nt
Filed under: Vibrio alginolyticus
Lineage: Bacteria; Pseudomonadati; Pseudomonadota; Gammaproteobacteria; Vibrionales; Vibrionaceae
Also listed under: 3 other names
Description: partial 23S ribosomal RNA
Rfam family: Bacterial large subunit ribosomal RNA
Source: RNAcentral
GGUUAAGUGACUAAGCGUACACGGUGGAUGCCUUGGCAGUCAGAGGCGAUGAAAGACGUAGUAACUUGCGAUAAGCCCAGAUUAGGUAGUAACAACCAUUUGAGUCUGGGAUUUC